RNAcentral lists this unclassified non-coding RNA (238 nucleotides) under Hevea brasiliensis (rubber tree). Lineage: Eukaryota; Viridiplantae; Streptophyta; Magnoliopsida; Malpighiales; Euphorbiaceae. The record is from RNAcentral.
AGCAGCCUGUCGCUCUCCAUAUGAAUGAUCAGAAAGAUUAUCGCCAUUAUUAGCUUCACUUUUUCUGAAAGUAUGCCAUUUGGAGUCCUUUUGGUUGAAGAUUCUAAACAAAUUAACGAUUCUACCCCACAUUGAAUCAUAGGGUCUCAAGUCUUCCCAAUGUUGGUGAACAAACAUGGUUAUGUAUGUUGUAAGAGCUAAAAGUGAGGUCCCUCCAGUAAUCGCAAAAAGAACCCAG